RNAcentral lists this ribosomal RNA (476 nucleotides) under uncultured bacterium. RNAcentral's name for it is "bacterial SSU rRNA". It matches the Rfam family "Bacterial small subunit ribosomal RNA", at positions 28 to 507 of the family's 1533-position model. The record is from RNAcentral.
GACGAACGCUGGCGGCGUGCCUCAAACAUGCAAGUCGAGCGGACGGAGACCGAACCGCAAGGGGAGGUUGAAGUUAGCGGCGAACGGGUGAGUAACACGUGGGUAACCUACCCUAAAGUCUGGGACAACGGCCCGAAAGGGCCGCUAAUACCGGAUAAUGUCUUCGGGUCGCAUGGCCUGGGGAAGAAAGCCGAAAGGCGCUUAUGGAUGGGCUCGCGUCCCAUCAGCUAGUUGGUAAGGUAACGGCUUACCAAGGCGACGACGGGUAGCCGGUCUGAGAGGAUGGUCGGCCACACUGGGACUGAGAUACGGCCCAGACUCCUACGGGAGGCAGCAGUUGGGAAUAUUGGGCAAUGGGCGAAGGCCUGACCCAGCGACGCCGCGUGAGGGAAGAAGGCCUUCGGGUCGUAAACCUCUGUCAUCGGGGACGAAGAAAGUAGACGGUACCCGAGGAGGAAGCCCCUGCUAACUACGUG